Molecule: ribosomal RNA, 253 nt
Filed under: uncultured bacterium
Lineage: Bacteria
Description: partial 16S ribosomal RNA
Rfam family: Bacterial small subunit ribosomal RNA
Source: RNAcentral
UACAGAGGGUGCAAGCGUUGUUCGGAAUUAUUGGGCGUAAAGGGUGUGUAGGCGGUUCUCUAAGUUUGGUGUGAAAUCUCCCGGCUCAACCGGGAGGGUGCGCCGAAAACUGGGGGACUCGAGUGCGGGAUGGGAGAGUAGAAUUCCUGGUGUAGCGGUGAAAUGCGUAGAUAUCAGGAGGAACACCGGUGGUGUAGACGGCUUUCUGGACCGUAACUGACGCUGAGACACGAAAGCGUGGGUAGCAAACAGG